RNAcentral lists this ribosomal RNA (465 nucleotides) under uncultured bacterium. Its description in RNAcentral is "bacterial LSU rRNA". It matches the Rfam family "Bacterial large subunit ribosomal RNA", at positions 716 to 1180 of the family's 2925-position model. The record is from RNAcentral.
CGAAACGGUGUGAUCUACCCAUGGUCAGGUUGAAGCGCGGGUAAAACCGCGUGGAGGACCGAACUCACCGGUGUUGAAAACUGGGGGAUGAACUGUGGGUAGGGGUGAAAGGCCAAUCAAACACCGAAAUGGCUGGUUCUCCCCGAAAUAUAUCUAGGUAUAGCGUCGCGUAUGACCUCGGGAGGUAGAGCACUGAAUGGGCUAGGGGUCUCACCAGAUUACCAAACCCAAUCAAACUCCGAAUGCCCGAGAGUCGAGCGCGGCAGUCAGUCGGCGGGUGAUAACGUCCGUCGUCAAAAGGGAAAGAACCCAGACCGCCAGCUAAGGUCCCCAAGAACAGGCUAAGUGGUAAACGAUGUCGGAGCGCAUAGACAGCCAGGAGGUUGGCUUAGAAGCAGCCACCCUUUUAAAGAAAGCGUAAUAGCUCACUGGUCGAGUGAACCGGCGCGGAAAAAUGUAACGGGG